RNAcentral lists this ribosomal RNA (828 nucleotides) under Duganella sp. 25S5. RNAcentral describes it as "bacterial SSU rRNA". It matches the Rfam family "Bacterial small subunit ribosomal RNA", at positions 116 to 940 of the family's 1533-position model. Lineage: Bacteria; Pseudomonadati; Pseudomonadota; Betaproteobacteria; Burkholderiales; Oxalobacteraceae. The record is from RNAcentral.
UAUUCGGAACGUGCCCAAGAGUGGGGGAUAACGUAGCGAAAGUUACGCUAAUACCGCAUACGAUCCAAGGAUGAAAGCAGGGGACCGCAAGGCCUUGUGCUCCUGGAGCGGCCGAUAUCUGAUUAGCUAGUUGGUGAGGUAAAGGCUCACCAAGGCGACGAUCAGUAGCUGGUCUGAGAGGACGACCAGCCACACUGGAACUGAGACACGGUCCAGACUCCUACGGGAGGCAGCAGUGGGGAAUUUUGGACAAUGGGGGCAACCCUGAUCCAGCAAUGCCGCGUGAGUGAAGAAGGCCUUCGGGUUGUAAAGCUCUUUUGUCAGGGAAGAAAAGGGUACGGCUAAUAUCCGUGCCUCAUGACGGUACCUGAAGAAUAAGCACCGGCUAACUACGUGCCAGCAGCCGCGGUAAUACGUAGGGUGCAAGCGUUAAUCGGAAUUACUGGGCGUAAAGCGUGCGCAGGCGGUUUUGUAAGUCUGUCGUGAAAUCCCCGGGCUUAACCUGGGAAUGGCGAUGGAGACUGCAAGGCUAGAGUUUGGCAGAGGGGGGUAGAAUUCCACGUGUAGCAGUGAAAUGCGUAGAGAUGUGGAGGAACACCGAUGGCGAAGGCAGCCCCCUGGGUCAAGACUGACGCUCAUGCACGAAAGCGUGGGGAGCAAACAGGAUUAGAUACCCUGGUAGUCCACGCCCUAAACGAUGUCUACUAGUUGUUGGGUCUUAAUUGACUUAGUAACGCAGCUAACGCGUGAAGUAGACCGCCUGGGGAGUACGGUCGCAAGAUUAAACUCAAAGGAAUUGACGGGGACCCGCACAAGCGGGUGGAUGAU